This 466-nucleotide ribosomal RNA is filed under the name uncultured bacterium. RNAcentral describes it as "partial 16S ribosomal RNA". It matches the Rfam family "Bacterial small subunit ribosomal RNA", at positions 28 to 507 of the family's 1533-position model. The record is from RNAcentral.
GAUGAACGCUGGCGGCGUGCUUAACACAUGCAAGUCGAACGAUGAAGCCCAGCUUGCUGGGUGGAUUAGUGGCGAACGGGUGAGUAACACGUGAGUAACCUGCCCUUAACUCUGGGAUAAGCCUGGGAAACUGGGUCUAAUACCGGAUAGGAGCGUCCACCGCAUGGUGGGUGUUGGAAAGAUUUAUCGGUUUUGGAUGGACUCGCGGCCUAUCAGCUUGUUGGUGAGGUAAUGGCACACCAAGGCGACGACGGGUAGCCGGCCUGAGAGGGUGACCGGCCACACUGGGACUGAGACACGGCCCAGACUCCUACGGGAGGCAGCAGUGGGGAAUAUUGCACAAUGGGCGCAAGCCUGAUGCAGCGACGCCGCGUGAGGGAUGACGGCCUUCGGGUUGUAAACCUCUUUCAGUAGGGAAGAAGCGAAAGUGACGGUACCUGCAGAAGAAGCACCGGCUAACUACGUG